RNAcentral lists this ribosomal RNA (301 nucleotides) under uncultured bacterium. RNAcentral describes it as "partial 16S ribosomal RNA". It matches the Rfam family "Bacterial small subunit ribosomal RNA", at positions 509 to 808 of the family's 1533-position model. The record is from RNAcentral.
CAGUCGCCGCGGUAAUACGUAGGUCCCGAGCGUUGUCCGGAUUUAUUGGGCGUAAAGCGAGCGCAGGCGGUUAGAUAAGUCUGAAGUUAAAGGCUGUGGCUUAACCAUAGUACGCUUUGGAAACUGUUUAACUUGAGUGCAAGAGGGGAGAGUGGAAUUCCAUGUGUAGCGGUGAAAUGCGUAGAUAUAUGGAGGAACACCGGUGGCGAAAGCGGCUCUCUGGCUUGUAACUGACGCUGAGGCUCGAAAGCGUGGGGAGCAAACAGGAUUAGAUACCCCUGUAGUCCCUGUCUCUUAUACA